AUGGCUAAUCUGAAGAGUUCCAGUGGACGGAGACUCUGGUGAAAAGUCUCACUGGAUAGGGACUCUGAUGAAGAGUCCCACUGGACUAAGACUCUAUCAUUAAUGAAGGAUUAAUUAGUGAUUAGAUCACUAAUUAGCUUAAUUUUAUUGAGCAUUAAAGUUUAGAUUAAAUCUGAUUGAAUUGGAUUCAAUCAGAUCAUGUCUGAUUAGGUUAUGAGAUGACCUGAUCGG
RNAcentral lists this long non-coding RNA (231 nucleotides) under Elaeis guineensis (African oil palm). RNAcentral describes it as "long non-coding RNA (EGUI_LNC037703)". Lineage: Eukaryota; Viridiplantae; Streptophyta; Magnoliopsida; Arecales; Arecaceae. The record is from RNAcentral.